GACGAACGCUGGCGGCGUGCUUAACACAUGCAAGUCGAACGCUGAAGCACCAGCUUGCUGGUGUGGAUGAGUGGCGAACGGGUGAGUAAUACGUGAGUAACCUGCCCUUGACUCCGGGAUAAGCCCGGGAGACUGGGUCUAAUACUGGAUGCUACAUGUCACCGCAUGGUGGUGUGUGGAAAGGGUUUACUGGUCUUGGAUGGGCUCACGGCCUAUCAGCUUGUUGGUGAGGUAAUGGCUCACCAAGGCGACGACGGGUAGCCGGCCUGAGAGGGUGACCGGCCACACUGGGACUGAGACACGGCCCAGACUCCUACGGGAGGCAGCAGUGGGGAAUAUUGCACAAUGGGCGAAAGCCUGAUGCAGCGACGCCGCGUGAGGGAUGACGGCCUUCGGGUUGUAAACCUCUUUCAGCAGGGAAGAAGCCACAAGUGACGGUACCUGCAGAAGAAGCGCCGGCUAACUACGUG
RNAcentral lists this ribosomal RNA (470 nucleotides) under uncultured bacterium. RNAcentral's name for it is "partial 16S ribosomal RNA". It matches the Rfam family "Bacterial small subunit ribosomal RNA", at positions 28 to 507 of the family's 1533-position model. The record is from RNAcentral.